UACGAAGGGUGCUAGCGUUGUUCGGAAUUACUGGGCGUAAAGCGUACGUAGGCGGCUUGAUAAGUCGAUUGUGAAAGCCCCAAGCUCAACUUGGGAACUGCAAUCGAAACUGUCUCGCUUGAGUUUGGUCGGGGAUGGUGGAAUUUCUAGUGUAGGGGUGAAAUCCGUAGAUAUUAGAAGGAAUAUCGGUGGCGAAGGCGACCAUCUAGGCCAAUACUGACGCUAAGGUACGAAAGCGUGGGGAGCAAACAGG
Molecule: ribosomal RNA, 253 nt
Filed under: uncultured bacterium
Lineage: Bacteria
Description: partial 16S ribosomal RNA
Rfam family: Bacterial small subunit ribosomal RNA
Source: RNAcentral